AUACGUAGGGGGCGAGCGUUGUCCGGAAUGAUUGGGCGUAAAGGGCGCGUAGGCGGCCCGGUAAGUCUGGAGUGAAAGUCCUGUUUUUAAGAUGGGAAUUGCUUUGGAUACUGUCGGGCUUGAGUGCAGGAGAGGUAAGUGGAAUUCCCAGUGUCGAGGUGAAAUGCGUAGAGAUUGGGAGGAACACCAGUGGCGAAGGCGACUUACUGGACUGUAACUGACGCUGAGGCGCGAAAGUGUGGGGAGCAAACAGGAUUAGAUACCCUGGUAGUCCACACUGUAAACGAUGAAUGCUAGGUGUAGGGUGUAUCGACCCCUUCUGUGCCGCAGUCAACACAAUAAGCAUUCCGCCUGGGGAGUACGGCCGCAAGGUUGAAACUCAAAGGAAUUGACGGGG
This 397-nucleotide ribosomal RNA is filed under the name uncultured bacterium. Its description in RNAcentral is "partial 16S ribosomal RNA". It matches the Rfam family "Bacterial small subunit ribosomal RNA", at positions 523 to 918 of the family's 1533-position model. The record is from RNAcentral.